CUUCCUGGGGGGGGUGGUUUUGUCCUCCUCUACCAAGAUGGGCUGAAUCGAUGAGGAGCAGGACAGCGGUUUGUCAAUGGAGGAGCUUUUUAUUUCUCCUCUAUUAGACCUCCUUCGUCUGGGUGUCUACAGGACAGGUCCGGGGAGUCUGUACCGGGGAAACGCAAAGUGUCGGCGGAUGAAGGGGCGCUGCGUCCCUGCAGCUGUGACCGCCGGCCGGGAGACACUGUCGGUGCUGCCGAGGAUGUGAGCCGGUGCUGGACGGAGGUGAUGAUCCAUAGAGUCAUUCGGACAAAUGCAGCCUGAUGCUACCCAACACAACGGGUGCAGCAUCAGCAAAAUGCUGCAGGCCCUCCGCCGGGCGCAAAGACUCAAAGAGGGAGAACAAGGAGCUGGCUGCAGAGAAUGACGCUCUGAAGAGUCACAUCGCCAACAAGAAACUCAGCUGGGAUAAUGAAAGAAAGGUGGUGGAGCCGAUGGGCUCUACUGCCUCACAGCUGUGUCAGGCCAGAGAAGACUUGGUCAACAUGAUCAUGAUCAAGGAAUCAAGGAGACAGAGGAGAAGUGGUCUGCUGAGCAGGAGCAGUCAGUGGAAAACGAGAGAAAGAUGGAGGAAGAAGUAAAACUCCUGAUCCAGCAGAACACUGAGCGUCAGGAACACGUCUUGAAGACCGAUGAGUAUGAGCUGAAGGUCAAAAAGGAGAAUAAGGAGAGAGAAGAACUGAAGAAGAGAAGAAGGAAAGGAUGAAGAUGUUCCCCAGUUCUCUAUUUAAACACCAGAACUCCUCCUAAUCUCCUCUGUCAUCCUUCCUCUCUCAACCAUCCCCUCAGACCAACCCCCCACACCCUUACCCCCUAAACCCCACUUCCUCC
Molecule: non-coding RNA, 873 nt
Organism: Paralichthys olivaceus (Japanese flounder)
Lineage: Eukaryota; Metazoa; Chordata; Actinopteri; Pleuronectiformes; Paralichthyidae
Source: RefSeq, a predicted model, not a curated record